GGGGAAUUUUGGACAAUGGGCGCAAGCCUGAUCCAGCCAUGCCGCGUGCAGGAAGAAGGCCUUCGGGUUGUAAACUGCUUUUGUCAGGGAAGAAAUCCUUUGGGUUAAUACCUCGGAGGGAUGACGGUACCUGAAGAAUAAGCACCGGCUAACUACGUGCCAGCAGCCGCGGUAAUACGUAGGGUGCAAGCGUUAAUCGGAAUUACUGGGCGUAAAACGUGCGCAGGCGGUUAUGCAAGACAGAGGUGAAAUCCCCGGGCUCAACCUGGGAACUGCCUUUGUGACUGCAUGACUAGAGUACGGCAGAGGGAGAUGGAAUUCCGCGUGUAGCAGUGAAAUGCGUAGACAUGCGGAGGAACACCGAUGGCGAAGGCAAUCUCCUGGGCCUGUACUGACGCUCAUGCACGAAAGCGUGGGGAGCAAAC
Molecule: ribosomal RNA, 425 nt
Filed under: uncultured bacterium
Lineage: Bacteria
Description: bacterial SSU rRNA
Rfam family: Bacterial small subunit ribosomal RNA
Source: RNAcentral